This 503-nucleotide long non-coding RNA is filed under the name Rattus norvegicus (Norway rat). Its description in RNAcentral is "long non-coding RNA NONRATT000799". The record is from RNAcentral. Lineage: Eukaryota; Metazoa; Chordata; Mammalia; Rodentia; Muridae.
AAUGGAAAAGUCCAUGAGCAGCUGGACGUCAUGCCUGGAACUCAGGGCAUUUCUCCCUCUGAAAAGACUUGGGUUCUCGAAGUGCUGGAGAGCGAGGCCUGACACGUCUCUUACCAUGGCAACUAUGCUUGGACGCUGACAGGGCCAAUUACUGUGUAUCCUACAGUAUGGUGACGCCAGGCUCUCAGGGUCCUGUGGGCCCCCAACUGUCACUUGUCAGUGUUCUCCAAACAGUGACCUCUUUCUUUUCUCUCUGCUUGUCUCUCCUGCCCCCAGCCUCCUAUACAAACAAAACAGACUCAGCCCUUUGCAAACACACCUGGCAGCAGGAAGAACAGGCUGUGGCAAUGUUUCACAUGGGUCCUGGCAACAGGUCAGACCCGGGGUGCGCUGUGUUUGUCUUGGAGAACAAGCCACAUCCUUGAGAGGAUGAGGGUGACAGGUUAUUGGGCAAUUGGAUGUAUAGAUCCUAGGUCUGUAGUUGAGCUCUUAAGGGAGGUGUG